AUACGAAGGGUGCAAGCGUUAAUCGGAAUUACUGGGCGUAAAGCGCGCGUAGGUGGUUCGUUAAGUUAGGAGUGAAAGCCCCGGGCUCAACCUGGGAAUUGCUUCUAAAACUGGCGAGCUAGAGUAUGGUAGAGGGUGGUGGAAUUUCCUGUGUAGCGGUGAAAUGCGUAGAUAUAGGAAGGAACAUCAGUGGCGAAGGCGACCACCUGGACUAAUACUGACACUGAGGUGCGAAAGCGUGGGGAGC
This 247-nucleotide ribosomal RNA is filed under the name uncultured bacterium. RNAcentral describes it as "partial 16S ribosomal RNA". It matches the Rfam family "Bacterial small subunit ribosomal RNA", at positions 523 to 769 of the family's 1533-position model. The record is from RNAcentral.